Molecule: long non-coding RNA, 1464 nt
Filed under: Citrus sinensis (sweet orange)
Lineage: Eukaryota; Viridiplantae; Streptophyta; Magnoliopsida; Sapindales; Rutaceae
Description: long non-coding RNA (CSIN_LNC002316)
Source: RNAcentral
CGGGAAUGUAAAUGCAGAAAAAUAGCAGAUCUGCUAUUGAAAAAAAUGAUAUCACAUGAGGUCACUCCUUAGAACUUUGAAUAGAGACGAGAAGAGAGAGCUCUGAGAAAGAUUGAUAAAGUAAGCUCCAUUGGACGGAUUGUUAAUUUUCUUCUGUACAUGAAAAGUGUCAACAUUAAUUGCUUUAUGCAUUGCAGAUGACACCAUCUAGCAUCUAAUACCGAAUCCCCAAUAUUACGGCAAAGCCACAAAGAAGCAAAAGUGCACCAUUUCCUCCAGGCAGGAUAGAUGACCUGCAGAAUCCAAACAUGCAAUCGGUUAUAAUCAAGAAAAGAUAGACAUGGCGGUACAGCAGUAUAUAUAUAUAUGGUAAUGUUAUUAUUUAAUAUUAUUUACAUACAAUGUUAUUGAUAUAUAAUAUUAUUUGCAUAUAAAUAAUUAAAACUUCAAGAGUAGUAAUGUUUAAUAUUUUGGACUCACUGUGUGUACGUAUAAAAAAUUAUUUGUUAGAUUAUUAAUAAUUCGUUUAUUUUUUAUGUUGGGUUUGUAUCUCAAUAUUUUAACAUGAUUAUUAAUUGAGUCAUAUUUGCAUUAACGUAAAUUUAAUAACAUGACACGGUGACCUAUUACUUUAUUUCUACCUUUUUUUUAUUUUAAGAUACUAUUUUAAAAAUAAAACUAUAAACAUAUUUUUAAAUUUACCAAAAAUCAAUUAUUUCUUACUAUAAAACAUACAAAAUUAACAUAAUUUGAUAAUAAUGAUUGAUUAAUAAGGAUUGAGUCAAUCAAUUUUUGUGUUGAUUUACAAUCAAUAUUUUUUAGUUAAUAUUUAAAAUAGAUACAAUCGAUGAUUUGAUUGAUUGUAUUGACUGAUUGAUUGUUUUUCGCUGUACAAACUUAACUUCUAUAUAUAUAUAUAUAUAUAUAUAUUUUUAACACUUAAAUCAAAUUUAGAUCCCUAUGUAAUUUCGGAGGGUAUUGGGAGAGCCGGAGAGGGCUGUACAACUUAAAAUGUCCAUCGUUUCUACACUUAAUUGGCAAGGAUAGAAACCAUUCAAAGAUUGAGGUGUCUUCUUAUCAUGAAUCUGUUGACAAGUGCGGCAGCGUUUGACGAAGAACACGCAGGACUCCUCGUGCUUUCUACCUAUUUAUCAAAUGUUUAAUGAAUGAUUAAUGCUCGAAAGACAUCGAGGCCCUACCACAGUGUCGAUGCCACCACUGUGUCACGGGGUGAUAGUUUUGCGUAGCAAGUUCCCGUGCGGCACUUGAGCGACCUUAGCGUGUGAGUCGCCAAGUAAGUCUAGAUUACUCCCUAAACAAGCCAAACACGCAUACUUGGAGAAAAUGUUAAGGGAAGUAAGAGUGGAAUGGCCAAAGAUGAUUGUAUUGCAUUUUGAAUAAUUACAAGAGUGUUUGUACAAGAGAGCUUGAGAGCUAGUGUGCUAGGUGUGUUGUGUGGGUGUG